AUUGAACGCUGGCGGCAUGCCAUACACAUGCAAGUCGAACGGCAGCACGGGAGCAAUCCUGGUGGCGAGUGGCGAACGGGUGAGUAAAGUAUCGGAACGUGCCCAGUCGUGGGGGAUAACGUAGCGAAAGUUACGCUAAUACCGCAUACGAUCUAUGGAUGAAAGCGGGGGAUCGCAAGACCUCGCGCGAUUGGAGCGGCCGAUAUCAGAUUAGGUAGUUGGUGGGGUAAAGGCUCACCAAGCCGACGAUCUGUAGCUGGUCUGAGAGGACGACCAGCCACACUGGAACUGAGACACGGCCCAGACUCCUACGGGAGGCAGCAGUGGGGAAUUGUGGACAAUGGGCGAAAGCCUGAUCCAGCCAUGCCGCGUGCAGGAUGAAGGCCUUCGGGUUGUAAACUGCUUUUGUACGGAACGAAAAGGUUUGGCCUAAUAAGCUGAGCUCAUGACGGUACCGUAAGAAUAAGCACCGGCUAACUACGUGCCAGCAGCCGCGGUAA
Molecule: ribosomal RNA, 500 nt
Filed under: uncultured bacterium
Lineage: Bacteria
Description: partial 16S ribosomal RNA
Rfam family: Bacterial small subunit ribosomal RNA
Source: RNAcentral